RNAcentral lists this ribosomal RNA (190 nucleotides) under uncultured bacterium. Its description in RNAcentral is "partial 16S ribosomal RNA". It matches the Rfam family "Bacterial small subunit ribosomal RNA", at positions 312 to 498 of the family's 1533-position model. The record is from RNAcentral.
UUCAAGUUGGGGGCACAAGGGGACUCUACGGGAGGCAGCAGUGGGGAAUAUUGCACAAUGGGCGCAAGCCUGAUGCAGCCAUGCCGCGUGUGUGAAUAAGGCUUCGGGUUGUAAAGCACUUUCAGCGAGGAGGAAGGGUUCAGUGUUAAUAGCACUGUUUAUUUUGUUACUCGCACGACAACAGCCGCCC